UUUGUAAGAAGUGUUAAUAAUUUAAUUUAUUUAUGCAUCGAGAUUUUGGGCACUAUUAAUAUGGAAUUAUAUAAAACCUCGAUUAUUUAUAUCGAAAUCCGGACAUAGGGAUUUUGUGUUGGCUUUGGAACAAAAGGCUAUUUUAUUUUAUUUUUUUUCCCGUUCUGAGGAUAGUCUAAAGAAAAAAAAAACGCACCUACCUAUCACUUAGCGGAGGGGACUAAGUGGAGCCGGUGAUGACUCAUUAGCUUAGGAAACCCUAUUAAGCUGAAAAGCGGUAGCUUCCAUCUGUCCCAGGUGAAGUUAAUGUCAGCUGUAAUUUAUUCACCGUAGUAAUAAGGGCUCCUUUCAGGCGACACACACACUUUAUUUCGUCCUCACCUUCUCCUGCCGACGAGCUUAGCGCACCGAAACAGCACCCGCACCCUCUCCUUUCGCCACCGACUCUAGAGAAAGCGCCUUAUGUUUCAUAAUAAAGAAGAUUUGGGGUUGACACAGACCAUGUAUAAUACUUUGUACUUGCCGAGACGUGUAAAUAAACGUUUUCUUUAAAAACGCCUCUCCGCUCCCUGCGUGCCUCGGGGCGCCGCCGCCGCACCGGGACCGGGACGGGGACGGGGACGGGGACCGGAGCCGGGCUGGAAACGGCGGGGCCGAGCCGGAGCCUGAACGGCCGCGUCUCCGUGCGCGGGCACCCUGGGAGGCACAGGCUGCGUGCUUACCUUCCCUCCUCUCGGAGCUUCAAGCCUGGGAAAACUCCUGUUCAAACACAUGGGGAUGGAAAACGAGGCUACAAGGUAAAAUACUCUCUUGAAGUCACUGUGGAAAGUAGGAGCUGGCUGCCUAAAGGCGCCUCUGUGCUGUGCGUUCAGAGAUGUCCAGGUGUCCGUGGAGCUGAGGCACCUGACAGCUUUCCUGUGCUCUCUGGGUGGCACAGGUGAAGGCUCCCGCACCUCUUCUGGAGCUGGGCACAAUGUGCUGCCGUGCCCCAUGCCAUUCUUCAAAACACCUUGAUUGAUUACAUUUUUUAAAGUGAAAUCUGGCCCUGGGUAGGGGACUCAUGCAGCACAUCUCCCAGUAACAUUUACAGAGCACCCGUGCAAGGAUCGGCGUGCCUGCCGUGUGGACCUUGGUGGCCUCACUGAAGUUUUCAGCCAGAGCUGUGGAGUACCCAGUGCACUCCCGUGGACGAGGCUGUGGGAUUGGGACCUUCACUGCAAUGAGGUGGCUGCACUGCAGGGAUCAGGGCCAGGUGGUUCUGUUCCCGUUUUAU
This 1273-nucleotide long non-coding RNA is filed under the name Anas platyrhynchos platyrhynchos (common mallard). RNAcentral describes it as "lncRNA (ENSAPLG00000019766.1)". Lineage: Eukaryota; Metazoa; Chordata; Aves; Anseriformes; Anatidae. The record is from RNAcentral.